UGGGGAAUUUUGCACAAUGGGGGAAACCCUGAUGCAGCGACGCCGCGUGAUUUAGAAGGCCUUCGGGUUGUAAAAAUCUUUUGUAUGGGAAGAAAAUGACAGUACCAUACGAAUAAGGACCGGCUAAUUACGUGCCAGCAGCCGCGGUAAUACGUAAGGUCCGAGCGUUGUCCGGAAUCAUUGGGCGUAAAGGGUACGUAGGCGGAUAAGCAAGUUAGAAGUGAAAUCCUCUAGCUCAACUAUAGUAAGCUUUUAAAACUGCUCAUCUUGAGGUAUGGAAGGGAAAGUGGAAUUCCUAGUGUAGCGGUGAAAUGCGCAGAUAUUAGGAGGAAUACCGGUGGCGAAGGCGACUUGCUGGCCAUAUACUGACGCUGAGGUACGAAAGCGUGGGUAGCAAACAGG
Molecule: ribosomal RNA, 402 nt
Filed under: Verrucomicrobiota bacterium
Lineage: Bacteria; Pseudomonadati; Verrucomicrobiota
Description: Verrucomicrobia bacterium partial 16S ribosomal RNA
Rfam family: Bacterial small subunit ribosomal RNA
Source: RNAcentral